GCGCUGUGUUGCAGAGGAGGAGCGGCGGGUGCGAGCCAACGCGCGGGAGUACAACGAGAAGUUCCAGUACGCGAGCAACUGCAUCAAGACCUCCAAGUACAACAUCGUCACCUUCCUGCCUGUCAACCUCUUCGAGCAGUUCCAGGAAGUGGCCAACACCUAUUUCCUCUUCCUCCUCAUCCUGCAGCUGAUCCCGCAGAUCUCUUCGCUCUCCUGGUUCACCACCAUUGUGCCUUUGGUUCUUGUCUUAACCAUC
RNAcentral lists this long non-coding RNA (256 nucleotides) under Anas platyrhynchos platyrhynchos (common mallard). RNAcentral describes it as "lncRNA (ENSAPLG00000024454.1)". The record is from RNAcentral. Lineage: Eukaryota; Metazoa; Chordata; Aves; Anseriformes; Anatidae.